This is an RNA transcript of Brachypodium distachyon (stiff brome), 3338 nucleotides long. RefSeq lists it as uncharacterized. NCBI's taxonomy places the organism in Eukaryota, Viridiplantae, Streptophyta, Magnoliopsida, Poales, Poaceae. The record is from RefSeq and is a predicted model, not a curated record. The transcript is spliced from 2 exons.
GUGGGCAACCGAAAUGAAGCUAAAUUUACAGAAGCUGAAGCCUGAGAGGCGACCCAAACCCUAGCACCGCCCGCCACUCCGGCGCCGGCGCCCACCUUCCUGGACGCCCCUCCGCUCUGGCUGGCGGUCGGUCUCACCCCCCUCUCUUCCUCCAUGGCGCCUCCCUCCCCGGCGUUUCUUUCCUCUAGCCCCCCCAGCCGCGUAGAUCUGAGCCCUUCCUCCUCCGAUGAGGGGGGCUCGGCUUGUUCCUUCUGCGAGGUGGUUCGCGACGGCGCCCCUGCCUCCCGUGCUCUGGAGGUGGCUGGUGGCUCGCGUCUCUUUGGCGCGACCAGUGGUUCCAGCAAGGCGCCGCCGGUGGUGGGUUCCCUCCCCUCGCGACUUGCUUCUAUGGUGGUUCGCCCGAAUGCUCCGGCGAGGAUUCCGGUCGCGGAGCGUCUGGAGCCGGUGGUGAGGACUGAGGAGGAGUGGCAUGUGACGGGCAAGAAGCGCCCUCGUCAGCGCCGCAAGGUGAAUCCGGUCCUUCCCUCCCGUGCGGUGCCCAAGGAGAUGGCUCCGCUGAUGGCCGACAGGUGCUUCAAUUGCCUCGGGGAGGACCAUGUCGCUGCCCUCUGCCCCAACGAGACGCGUUGCCCUUUUGCAAAAUAGCUCAUGAUCUACAGAACAACAAUGGAGUUGUGUGAGCAGAGGUGGCAUAUCAGUCAGACAUAAGGAUAUCAGAGGCCAAUAUACGAUAUCAAACCACUACAAAAUGUGUAUGAGAUGAAGCAUUCAGGAUAGUUUGCUCUUGCCUCAAAGAAAUAUCGCCGGGGAGAAGCUGAUGCCACAUCCAUUGCCAACGCAACAAAGGUCUUUAGCUUGAUGGGAUCCAUCGAACUGUUCAUAGGCGAACCUUUGGAAACUUUGUCCCCACCCUUUGCUCGAAUCUGGGCAGAGAAAAUAUUGUUUCCUCUUUGGUUAGCUAGAUAACUGCAACAAGUUGACUAGUUGAAAAGAUAUAUAGAAAGGCACAACUAAAUCUAGAUGUAACCCUUUUAAUGGAUAAACUCAAGAACCAUGCAUUGAGAAAGACAAUGGUGUAUUCUCUAAACCAUGAUAAACUGGUAGCUAUAAAGCAAAUAAUCCUGCUGAAGGCAGUUAUAUUUGAUUUUCCAACAAUGGGCACAUAGCUACCAAUGUGUGCCGCAAAAGUGUUGAGCUGCCUCUGUAGCAGAGAAACAGCACGCACACACAGUGUUGAGCUGCCUCUGUAGCAGAGAGAGAGAGAAGCUAAAUCCACAAGGCAACAAAACAGAUCCACAUACCAUUAUAUAACAUUCUGGAUCCAAGUUACAACGUUUAAUGAAAGCAUCGACAGCUGAUGGAUUCUGGCUUGGUAGAAUUUCUAGGGCAUCACCAACUUGAUAACUGAUGGGCUAAAAUCACAAAAAUGAAACAACCUUUUAGUCUCUUCCAUGUGUUCAGAAGAUGAUUGCAAGCGAAUGUGAUCUUAUGGAUCAUAGAACAUACAGAACAUAGAUCUUCCAGUUCAAAAUGCCGGACAUCUCUGUCAGAAUCUCCCUUAGUCAAACGUUGAUUUGUUACCUAAAAUGGUUAGCAAUAUCAUCAACAACAAAAAUAAGUAAAUAACAAUGAAUAAAAUAAAUUAUAAUGCAAUUAUUACAUCAUUAUUAUAUUUUAUAGUCACAAUACAGAUGAAGCUCCCCAUAAUGAACCAUGACUAAUUUACUAUCCCUGGUCGGAGUUUGUUACACCACAGCCCAGCUAUUAUUUGUUUAGGGAAAUCCCAGCAAUGAUGUAGAGAUUCCUCAAUGGUACACUUUCUUUGAGAAUGUUAAACAUCUGUCCAUGCCAAUUGAACUUCGGAGCAAAAGAACAUGACAAUCACAACAACAAAAGAAAAUUUAAGUUGAGCUCGAUCAUGCAUAGUUAGGGGUAGAAUGGACUGCUUAGUUGUCUACAGAACAAGCAAAUGUGCAUCAAUUAGUGCUGCGUAGGCUAGCUUUGCAUUCAAAGCUUGCAUAUAUUGUUUGCCUGUUCAAAGGAAAAAUGGCAAAAUAAGCCAAAUCCAGCAUAAGGUGCCGCACGCGAUCGCGCCUCACCAGUCAACAUAAAAUCUACUAUGCAGGGGGCUUGUGCAUAAUACUACUGUACAGCAAGAUCGUACAAAAAUAGCACACUAAAGUAUAGCCUAGAGAUUAGGAAAUCUACUUCUAUACAAAUAAGUUCAAGCCCUUUCAACCACUAAAGAAUUCGGGGUGAGUACAGUAAAUAAAAAGUUUCUGACGAGCAAAUAAUUCGGCCGCCUAAUACACAAGAUAGAGCAAUAUCUUAUAUGUGAAUGCAUAAGAUUUCCUAAAGAUGAAUGUAAUAUCCACAUAUACAAUUGCUGGAUCAGCUAAAGAUUCAUAAGAGUAAAAUAAUUACUGAUUCAACUGUUAAGCUCUUACAGAGGGUACAGAACAUACCAUUUGUAACAUGUACUGUGGCUCUCCUUCGUUAUGGCACUUUAGAGCAGGGGACAUUGAGCGUGUUCUCUCAACUAAUAAUUUGGAGUCUGGGGAAGAAGACAUACAGAAUCUAUAAGAAAUAUUACAUGCACCUUAUAGAUUACUGGUAAACAAUAGCAAAUUGAGAUCUCCUACCUGAAAUGGUGAUAUCUUGUGUAGCCGAGUAAUAGAUGACUUCUACCUUUGCAUCCCCCAAAAUAUUCAAAUUAGGAUGAAUGGCAUCAGAUAUUCUUGGUAACAGUGAUGGAUUUGUUUGAUUCAGGUAUUUCCACAAAGACAGCAACCACGGAUCUAGCGCUCCUUUGUAUCUGGUAUACAAUAACAGAACAAUUCCUUGGUAACUUUGAGGAAUUGCUUUAGAACGCCCCACAAAAGGUGCUGUUGGGAAAAAACAUGUCAUUUGAUUUCUCCAAAGCUCACAUAUGAAUAUAAAAACAACAGCAAAUAAAAAGAGGAUGAUAUUAAAAGCAUACCCUGAAGGAUGUUGAUCAUCCCCCAAGCCUUUUUCUAUGAUUCGUUCUGCACCAAGACCUAAAAGCCUUUGAUCAAGCUUCUUUGCAGGAAACUGCAGUGCAAACACGGCUGUGAAGAGGAAAACAGAAACAAGAAGCAUGCACGAUUUUAAAAACCAUAACGGUCAUGAUUUAUGAGUAACAGAGGACAAUCUACUAGCUGAGAGUAAUGAGAAAUCGGCAUUGUUGAUGAUGCAGCCAAAAAUGUACAGUACGUUUAGAACAUACAGAAAAAGUGACCUCCUUAUUGUGUAAAACUGAAAGUGCCAGCAUGAACUUGUUAUUUUAAUGAUGUUUCCAGCUAAGCAUUUGAAUAUGU